This 495-nucleotide ribosomal RNA is filed under the name uncultured bacterium. RNAcentral describes it as "partial 16S ribosomal RNA". It matches the Rfam family "Bacterial small subunit ribosomal RNA", at positions 30 to 507 of the family's 1533-position model. The record is from RNAcentral.
UGAACGCUGGCGGCGUGCCUAAUACAUGCAAGUCGAGCGAACAGACGAGGAGCUUGCUCCUCUGACGUUAGCGGCGGACGGGUGAGUAACACGUGGAUAACCUACCUAUAAGACUGGGAUAACUUCGGGAAACCGGAGCUAAUACCGGAUAAUAUAUUGAACCGCAUGGUUCAAUAGUGAAAGACGGUUUUGCUGUCACUUAUAGAUGGAUCCGCGCCGCAUUAGCUAGUUGGUAAGGUAACGGCUUACCAAGGCAACGAUGCGUAGCCGACCUGAGAGGGUGAUCGGCCACACUGGAACUGAGACACGGUCCAGACUCCUACGGGAGGCAGCAGUAGGGAAUCUUCCGCAAUGGGCGAAAGCCUGACGGAGCAACGCCGCGUGAGUGAUGAAGGUCUUCGGAUCGUAAAACUCUGUUAUUAGGGAAGAACAAAUGUGUAAGUAACUAUGCACGUCUUGACGGUACGUAAUCAGAAAGCCACGGCUAACUACGUG